This is a non-coding RNA of Paramuricea clavata, 73 nucleotides long. Lineage: Eukaryota; Metazoa; Cnidaria; Anthozoa; Malacalcyonacea; Plexauridae. The record is from the annotation of a GenBank genome assembly.
GACCGCGUAGCUCAGUUGGAAGAGCAUUGGGCUAGUAUUCCAAAGGUCGUAGGUUCGAAUCCCGCCGUGACCA